UACGAAGGGGGCUAGCGUUGUUCGGAAUUACUGGGCGUAAAGGGCGCGUAGGCUGUGCUGUAAGUCAGGCGUGAAAUCCCCGGGCUCAACCUGGGAAUUGCGUUUGAUACUGCGGCGCUGGAAUGCAGGAGAGGAUGGCGGAAUUCCCAGUGUAGAGGUGAAAUUCGUAGAUAUUCGGAAGAACACCAGUGGCGAAGGCGACUCACUGGACACAUAUUGACGCUGAGGUGCGAAAGCGUGGGGAGCAAACAGG
This 253-nucleotide ribosomal RNA is filed under the name uncultured bacterium. RNAcentral describes it as "partial 16S ribosomal RNA". It matches the Rfam family "Bacterial small subunit ribosomal RNA", at positions 524 to 776 of the family's 1533-position model. The record is from RNAcentral.